Molecule: ribosomal RNA, 380 nt
Filed under: uncultured eukaryote
Lineage: Eukaryota
Description: partial 18S ribosomal RNA
Rfam family: Eukaryotic small subunit ribosomal RNA
Source: RNAcentral
CAAUAGCGUAUAUUAAAGUUGUUGCGGUUAAAAAGCUCGUAGUUGGAUUUCUGCUGAGGACGACCGGUCCGCCCUCUGGGUGAGUAUCUGGCUCGGCCUUGGCAUCUUCUUGGGGAACGUAACUGCACUUGACUGUGUGGUGCGGUAUCCAGGACUUUUACUUUGAGGAAAUUAGAGUGUUUCAAGCAGGCGCACGCCUUGAAUACAUUAGCAUGGAAUAAUAAGAUAGGACCUUGGUUCUAUUUUGUUGGUUUCUAGAGCUGAGGUAAUGAUUAAUAGGGAUAGUUGGGGGCAUUCGUAUUUAACUGUCAGAGGUGAAAUUCUUGGAUUUGCUAAAGACGGACUACUGCGAAAGCAUUUGCCAAGGAUGUUUUCAUUGA